GCCUGUGUGGCUCAGUCGGUUAAGCAUCUGACUUCAGCUCAGGUCAUGAUCUCACGGUUCGUGGGUUCCAGCCCCGCGUCAGGCC
RNAcentral lists this transfer RNA (85 nucleotides) under Felis catus (domestic cat). It matches the Rfam family "tRNA". Rfam says of the family: Transfer RNA (tRNA) molecules are approximately 80 nucleotides in length. Their secondary structure includes four short double-helical elements and three loops (D, anti-codon, and T loops). Lineage: Eukaryota; Metazoa; Chordata; Mammalia; Carnivora; Felidae. The record is from Rfam by way of RNAcentral.